GAUCCUGUGGCUCAACUGGAUGAGCCUCGCCUUUGGGUGGAGAGGUUGCUGGUUCAAACCCCAGCCAGGUCU
Pangasius djambal is the source of this 72-nucleotide non-coding RNA. The record is from the annotation of a GenBank genome assembly. NCBI's taxonomy places the organism in Eukaryota, Metazoa, Chordata, Actinopteri, Siluriformes, Pangasiidae.